Molecule: ribosomal RNA, 465 nt
Filed under: uncultured bacterium
Lineage: Bacteria
Description: partial 16S ribosomal RNA
Rfam family: Bacterial small subunit ribosomal RNA
Source: RNAcentral
CCUACGGGUGGCAGCAGUGGGGAAUAUUGCGCAAUGGGCGAAAGCCUGACGCAGCGACGCCGCGUGAGGGAUGAAGGUUUUCGGAUCGUAAACCUCUGUCAGAAGGGAAGAAGUUGCAUGGGGCCAAUCACCUGUGCAUUGACGGUACCUUCAAAGGAAGCACCGGCUAACUCCGUGCCAGCAGCCGCGGUAAUACGGAGGGUGCGAGCGUUAAUCGGAAUUACUGGGCGUAAAGCGCACGUAGGCUGUAUGUCAAGUCAAGGGUGAAAUCCCACGGCUCAACCGUGGAACUGCCUUUGAAACUGGCAAACUGGAGUAUGUGAGAGGGCGGCGGAAGUCCUGGUGUAGGAGUGAAAUCCGUAGAUAUCAGGAAGAACACCAGUGGCGAAGGCGGCUCUCUGGUCUGCAACUGACGCUGAGGCUCGAAAGCAUGGGUAGCGAACAGGAUUAGAUACCCGAGUAGUC